RNAcentral lists this ribosomal RNA (253 nucleotides) under uncultured bacterium. Its description in RNAcentral is "partial 16S ribosomal RNA". It matches the Rfam family "Bacterial small subunit ribosomal RNA", at positions 524 to 776 of the family's 1533-position model. The record is from RNAcentral.
UACAGAGGGGGCUAGCGUUAUUCGGAAUUAUUGGGCGUAAAGGGCGCGUAGGCGGCCAUGCGUGUCUUCCGUGAAAUCCCUCGGCUUAACUGAGGACGUGCGGAAGAAACUGCAAGGCUCGAGUCCGGGAGAGGGGGGUGGAAUUCCCAGUGUAGCGGUGAAAUGCGUAGAGAUCAGGAAGAACACCCGUGGCGCAAGCGGCCACCUGGCAGAGACCUGACGCUGAGGCACGAGAGCGUGGGGAGCGAACCGG